Long non-coding RNA from Musca domestica (house fly), 1707 nucleotides. RefSeq lists it as uncharacterized. The transcript is spliced from 5 exons. The record is from RefSeq and is a predicted model, not a curated record. Lineage: Eukaryota; Metazoa; Arthropoda; Insecta; Diptera; Muscidae.
CCGCAUGCAUACCAUUCAACCUACGGAUGAUGGCCGUCUUAUUCACACACAUACCUGCUUACAUUACUCACUCCAAUUAGAGUUUCGUAAACGCAACAUGUAUGUAUUCAAUGAAUGAACGAUUUCUGGUUGUGGAGAACGCAUUUGAGUGUGUUUAUGAAUGGAUUUCAUCUACUAUCAAGGCAUCAUUUGAAUCGAUUGGGACAUUGGAAACCAAGUGACCACACAAGCAUACUGCUCAUCACGGUAUACCAUAGGGGGACUUGUUACACCUUAACGUGCAAUGAAUUCUCUUUGCACACAGGUAUUUUCCGUUCGAGGUCAUAUUGGACGCAAACAUGUCAUUUAUGGUUCUUGUUACUUUGUGCCCAAAUUAUCUGCACAGCUUGGACCGAUAACUCAAUGAGUGGACGUACAGGUACCCCAACGAUUUGAUACGAACCUUUCAACAUAGACCCCAUCUCCUGAGGCAGAUAUUUAUGAUCGCUUUAUAAGGGUAUAAUUUUGGAUUUCCCAGGUGGAUGCAGUAUACCACUUAAUUUUUUUUAUAGAGGAAUACAAAUUUAUAUAUCCUUUUUGCCUGAUAUUUGGGAUAGGUAUUUUUUGUUUGGUAACAGCAGUAUAUGGACAGUUAACGGCGUCACCCCCUUGGAGUAGGAACAUACAUUGCGAAAAACAGCGCAAUAUUUUUAUACCUGAGGAUUGUCAACUAUUUCUCAUUCUUGAAACACAUCGUGGAAAAAGUUUUACCAACCCAAAUAGAUUGGUUAACGGUCGCCUCACAUCCGUUGAUAAAGCGCUACGGUGCCGGUUCCACUUAACCUGAGGUAACUAUUUAAAAAUUCUUUAUCUUCGUUACCUGGUUGACCAGAUACUUAAUUGGCUUGUGGGAACUUAUGUCGGCGGUAAUUAUAUGGCUCUUUUCUGGCAUAACGGACCCUGUCGCAUCAAUCUGCUGGCUUGCUGCAACUUAGAUGUCGACACAAAUUUUUCUAUGGCAUAUGGCCGGUUUAAACAAGGCGACCUUCCGCGUAAACUGUUGGAAGGCCUCGUAAUGGCUUGCAAUCUGAUGGAAUCUUAAAUGGAAGGGACACAACACUUGUUACGACCAACAUUAGACAACACCACAAUUUCAACUUACAUCUAUGAUUUUUAUCCAUCCAACAUAAAAAGAAUAAAUGCAAGGCACGCAGCCGUAUAAACCCGUCAAUAAAACUUAAUUUUGUACCGUUGUUAAAUGCCGACUUUUUCCAAAUGGUCGAUUUUGGCAAACGAAAUAAAAUGUUGUUUUUUCUAUAGCGCAUCAAGAAAAUCUGACUUUCUUUUGGUUAUCUCUACGCUUUUAUACGGGAAAAAUGACGCCAAGACUAAUUUCCCCUUCUCAUCGAUUUUCCCACAAUUUUCCAAAUUUAUUUACUUUUCUUCACUUGACUGUUCUACUAAACAUAAUCAUACGCACAGAACUGCAUUUUUCUAACGCCGAUCUAAAAGAAUCGACUCAGCAAAAAUCAACACAAACUUGGCACUACCUUUUUUUCACAAAUCAGGAGACCCCGCAUAUCCGGCUCAUUUUCAGUUUGGCGUUCGAUCAUUGCCGGUUAAAACUAAUGCCGGCUUGUUUAUUUUAUUGCGCCAUGGCAUUUAUUUAUUGUGAACACCACCGCAACAAAACUUCGAAAUUAGCAAGUGUAUCGCAGAAAAUUUCGA